RNAcentral lists this long non-coding RNA (2008 nucleotides) under Medicago truncatula (barrel medic). RNAcentral's name for it is "long non-coding RNA (MTRU_LNC003261)". The record is from RNAcentral. Lineage: Eukaryota; Viridiplantae; Streptophyta; Magnoliopsida; Fabales; Fabaceae.
GAACCUUAUGUAAACAUGCUUGAAACUUUUAGGAGAAGACCCUAUUCAUAGAGAACUUCAUCAAAAGGCCGACUAAGUCUUGAGCUAGAAGUGUUCAUUAGUGAGAUUUUAGGUCUUCAAUGUCCCUCCUUCAUAUUCCCCAAGAACGUUGAUAAGACUUCGGUAAGGCGAAUUGAAGAAAAAUUCAAACAUUUAAACUAGUGUUGAUGAGAUUCUACUAUUUUGACCUUAUCGUCUAUCCAAAACAUGAGUCUUUGAUGAAGUGUCGAGGGAACACGUUCACUGAUAUGUAUCCAAUCUCUAUCGAGGAUUAAAGAGUAUGAAGGCUUGUCGUCAAUGAAACUUCACCUAUUAUUUAUGGUAUUGGUUCAUGAUUGCCUAGUCUAGUAUAUCAUCAGUAGUUUCUAUAAGAACAUUUAUGAUUGCUGGAAUAUUUUGGCUGACACAUCAAGAUAACUUCUUUGUUAUGGUUAGUUUUAGAAUCAGUUGGGAAAGCUUCUUCCUACUCUUUGGAAACCCGAGACAAUGAAACUUCUAUUUUACCCAUGUCUUGGACUCUAGUAAUCAAUUACAUUUUCUGUUGCAUCUUCAAAAGGUAGUGUUUCCUCUGCUACCUUCGCUUUUAUAUUCUCUGCUACCUUCGCUUUUAUAUUCUGAUGAGAUCUGAAAGUGAGAAAAAUAUAAGAAGGGUUGAAUUGUGUUGCCUUUUUCUGAAAAAUCUUUUCUAAGCUAAAAAUUAAUCUUAAAAGAUUAAAAAAGAAAGAGAGGAGAGAUAGACACAAAUAAUUUAUCCUUUUUUUUAAAGACAAAUAAUUUAUCCUUGUUCAACCCGCAAUACGGGAUUAUGUGUAAUCCUCUCACACAAGAGAGAUUUUUCAUUAUAAUCAUACAAACUUACAAUUACUUAGAAGCACAAGUUUAAGAUUUGUUACCUCAACUAGAGGAUUUUUACAAUCACAAUUUUCAAAUAUUUGAUUGAUGUUUACACUUCAGACUCAAAUAAUGGUAAACUAAAAUAAGCUCAGAGUAAUUUAUAAACACUUAAGAAAUUCUAAGAUUGAAAGCAUGCAGUUUUCUAUGUUCCUCAAAUUCUCAAGGUCCUUUUAUAGAAGAAUUGAAUAAAGUCGUUGUUUAAGAUAUUUGCUAACGUAUCACAAGAUUUCUUUACGUUUGAAAUCUUUGUCUCUAAAGAAUAAUUUUGUUGAAUAGUACUUCAAAAUUUCUUUGUUUCUUUUAGAAUGAUACAUUGCCUCCUCUUUGUCUUGUAGGAGCUUUGUCCAUUUCUGCAAUGUGGUGUUCAUUUAAAUGAGAAAGGACCAAAUGUAUUAUAGAAUUUGGAAAGUGAUGUUUGAUGGCAGAUCAUCUUAUGUUAUUCUUAGCAUGUUUGUUAGUUAAUUAUAGUAGGUUUUACCAGCAAAACAUAGGUGUAUUAGAUCAAUUGCCUAUGAUUUUUGGACAUUUAUAAUGUUUUCUAUAUUUGAGUUUGUAAUUCUAUUCUUCCCAAAACAUAGCAAUUUUAGGGUGUUCUUGAUGUAAUUCACGAAGAGAUCAAGCAAAUCAGGAAAAGCAAGACAUUCAAAGAUUUAUGUUAUCUUUGGGAAGAUGAAGAAUGAAAAUUCAAGAGGCUUCAGAAGACUUAGCAGAGGGAGAAAUUAUGUUCCAUAGUUCCAUGAAUUUUUACAUUGAAGAAAAUACCAAAACAGGCGUAGAAAACAUGCAAAAUAGCAUAGAAAACACACUAAAGCACCCAUGCGCACCACAAGGGUGCUAGGAGCUCUGGAGCUGAUACACAGAAGUGCCUGGCCCAUGCCAUGGGGUGUUAGGCGCCUCAUACUGGCAGGCACAUGCGCUAGGCGCAUGACCUUAGGUUCUAGGUGAAGCUUGCUUUGCAUGUGUUGUUGUUUUGAUGAUGUUCACUAAGACUCUUAAAAGUUGUUUAUUAUUUUUUUUGCUUUAGGUUGUAUAGCUUAAAGUUAUGUUAAUGCAUCUAGCAAUCUUUGUCCCUUUA